GCAUAUUUAGUAUAUGUAACAAUAUAUUAGAUUUAGAAUCUAAAGAAUUAAUUAUGUU
RNAcentral lists this transfer RNA (58 nucleotides) under Oscheius chongmingensis. RNAcentral's name for it is "tRNA-Leu". Lineage: Eukaryota; Metazoa; Nematoda; Chromadorea; Rhabditida; Rhabditidae. The record is from RNAcentral.